UGGAGAGUUUGAUCCUGGCUCAGGACGAACGCUGGCGGCGUGCUUAACACAUGCAAGUCGUACGAGGACCAGUGGUGCUUGCACCGCUGUAGCCGAGUGGCGAACGGGUGAGUAACACGUGACCAACCUGUCUUCAGGUGGGGGACAACCUGGGGAAACCCGGGCUAAUACCGCAUGACGUCCGCGGACUGCAUGGUCUGCGGAUCAAAGGAGGCCUCUGCUUGCAAGCUUCCGCCUGAAGAGGGGGUCGCGACGUAUCAGCUAGUUGGUAGGGUAACGGCCUACCAAGGCUACGACGCGUAGUGGGUCUGAGAGGACGACCCGCCACAUUGGGACUGAGAUACGGCCCAGACUCCUACGGGAGGCAGCAGUGGGGAAUAUUGCGCAAUGGGCGAAAGCCUGACGCAGCGACGCCGCGUGUGGGAGGAAGCCCUUCGGGGUGUAAACCACUGUCAGGGGGG
RNAcentral lists this ribosomal RNA (461 nucleotides) under Gemmatimonadota bacterium. Its description in RNAcentral is "bacterial SSU rRNA". It matches the Rfam family "Bacterial small subunit ribosomal RNA", at positions 1 to 444 of the family's 1533-position model. The record is from RNAcentral. Lineage: Bacteria; Pseudomonadati; Gemmatimonadota.